UGGCUCAGACGGUAAAGCGUCUACCUGCAACGUGGUAGACCCAGGUUCGAUCCCUGG
This 57-nucleotide transfer RNA is filed under the name Bos taurus (domestic cattle). It matches the Rfam family "tRNA", at positions 8 to 63 of the family's 71-position model. Rfam says of the family: Transfer RNA (tRNA) molecules are approximately 80 nucleotides in length. Their secondary structure includes four short double-helical elements and three loops (D, anti-codon, and T loops). Further hydrogen bonds mediate the characteristic L-shaped molecular structure. tRNAs have two regions of fundamental functional importance: the anti-codon, which is responsible for specific mRNA codon recognition, and the 3' end, to which the tRNAs corresponding amino acid is attached (by aminoacyl-tRNA synthetases). tRNAs cope with the degeneracy of the genetic code in two manners: having more than one tRNA (with a specific anti-codon) for a particular amino acid; and 'wobble' base-pairing, i.e. permitting non-standard base-pairing at the 3rd anti-codon position. RNAcentral also lists the same sequence under 4 other names. Lineage: Eukaryota; Metazoa; Chordata; Mammalia; Artiodactyla; Bovidae. The record is from Rfam by way of RNAcentral.